Molecule: ribosomal RNA, 471 nt
Filed under: uncultured bacterium
Lineage: Bacteria
Description: bacterial SSU rRNA
Rfam family: Bacterial small subunit ribosomal RNA
Source: RNAcentral
ACGCUGGCGGCGUGCCUAACACAUGCAAGUCGAACGGACGAGGGGAGCUUGCUCCUCGAGUUAGUGGCGAACGGGUGAGUAACGCGUGAGCAACCUGCCUUUCAGAGGGGGACAACGGUUGGAAACGACCGCUAAUACCGCAUGAUGCAUUCUGACCGCAUGAUCGGGAUGCCAAAGAUUUAUCGCUGAAAGAUGGGCUCGCGUCUGAUUAGAUAGUUGGCGGGGUAACGGCCCACCAAGUCGACGAUCAGUAGCCGGACUGAGAGGUUGAACGGCCACAUUGGGACUGAGAUACGGCCCAGACUCCUACGGGAGGCAGCAGUGGGGAAUAUUGGGCCAAUGGGGGAAACCCUGACCCAGCAACGCCGCGUGAAGGAAGAAGGCUUUCGGGUUGUAAACUUCUUUACCAGGGACGAAGGACGUGACGGUACCUGGAGAAAAAGCCACGGCUAACUACGUGCCAGCAGCGGC